UACGGAGGAUGCAAGCGUUAUCCGGAAUGAUUGGGCGUAAAGCGUCCGCAGGUGGCAAUGUAAGUCUGCUGUCAAAGCGUCUGGCUCAACCAGAUAAAGGCAGUGGAAACUACAUAGCUAGAGUAAGGUAGGGGUAGAGGGAAUUCCUGGUGUAGCGGUGAAAUGCGUAGAGAUCAGGAAGAACACCGGUGGCGAAAGCGGCGUGCUGGACCUUUUCUGACGCUGAGGCGCGAAAGCUAGGGGAGCAAACGGG
RNAcentral lists this ribosomal RNA (253 nucleotides) under uncultured bacterium. RNAcentral's name for it is "partial 16S ribosomal RNA". It matches the Rfam family "Bacterial small subunit ribosomal RNA", at positions 524 to 776 of the family's 1533-position model. The record is from RNAcentral.